Molecule: ribosomal RNA, 378 nt
Filed under: uncultured eukaryote
Lineage: Eukaryota
Description: partial 18S ribosomal RNA
Rfam family: Eukaryotic small subunit ribosomal RNA
Source: RNAcentral
CAAUAGCGUAUAUUUAAGUUGUUGCAGUUAAAAAGCUCGUAGUUGGAUUUCGGGUGGGACGCAGCGGUCUCGCAUUGCGUUUGUACUGCUGCAGCCCUCCUUCUUGCCGGGGGCGGCCUCUCGGACUUCACUGUCUGGGGGUCAGAAUCGGCGAUGUUACUUUGAGUAAAUUAGAGUGUUCAAAGCAAGCUUACGCUCUGAAUAUAAUAGCAUGGGAUAACACGACAGGACUCUGGCCUAUCGUGUUGGUCUAUAGGACCAGAGUAAUGAUUAAGAGGGACAGUCGGGGGCAUUCGUACUCCGUUGUCAGAGGUGAAAUUCUUGGAUUUACGGAAGACGAACAUCUGCGAAAGCAUUUGCCAAGGAUGUUUUCAUUGA